GACUACUGGGGUAUCUAAUCCCGUUUGCUCCCCUGGCUUUCGCGCCUCAGCGUCAGUUGCUGCCCAGCAAGUCGCCUUCGCCACCGGUGUUCUUCCCAAUAUCUACGCAUUUCACCGCUACACUGGGAAUUCCACUUGCCUCUACAGCACUCCAGCACCGCAGUCUCAACCGCAUGCCCGGGUUAAGCCCAGACAUUUAACAGCUGACUUGCAGCACAGCCUGCGCGCCCUUUACGCCCAGUAAUUCCGGACAACGCUCGUCCCCUACGUAUUACCGCGGCUGCUGGCACGUAGUUAGCCGGGACUUAUUCGUACAGUACCGUCACUUCCUUCUUCCCGUACAAAAGAGGUUUACAACCCGAAGGCCGUCUUCCCCCACGCGGCGUCGCUGGGUCAGGGUUGCCCCCAUUGCCCAAUAUUCCCCACUGCAGCCCCCCGUAGG
Molecule: ribosomal RNA, 442 nt
Filed under: uncultured Synergistaceae bacterium
Lineage: Bacteria; Thermotogati; Synergistota; Synergistia; Synergistales; Synergistaceae
Description: partial 16S ribosomal RNA
Source: RNAcentral